Molecule: long non-coding RNA, 470 nt
Organism: Lagopus leucura (white-tailed ptarmigan)
Lineage: Eukaryota; Metazoa; Chordata; Aves; Galliformes; Phasianidae
Exons: 4
Source: RefSeq, a predicted model, not a curated record
UAUUCCUAGGAAAGUAAAGCAAACUGGAGGGUUGAAUUGGAAACAUUAAACAUCUACCACAGACCACAAUCACCUUCUAAUCCAAGUUAAAAGGAAAUGCGUUGAGAUGUCAAACUGUAGAUGAAACAGCAGGAAAAAGUCAACAAUUCAAUUUGUGAAACAUCAGCAGCAAAGCGCAGUAAAAGAUGUGUUGGACUGAGCAAACCGUUACCAUUCCCUGCUCCUCAUUCACUUAGAAGUUCAACGGUCAACCAAAAACAGUGGGGAGAAAGAAGUAUUCAAGUUUGUCAAAGGUACAACACACAUGUGGCAUCAGCACAUGCAACAUUUUAUUUCCACUCACGUAUUUUACAAGCUUCUAAUGAACCAUUUGAGCAGCACAAGUUCUGUCCAAGACCAAUGUAAUCCCGACUGUUACAAGCAGCAGAGAUGCAGAAAAGCAGUGAGCUGCUAUCAGCACGUCGAUCAAA